This 284-nucleotide ribosomal RNA is filed under the name Faecalibacterium prausnitzii. RNAcentral describes it as "partial 16S ribosomal RNA". It matches the Rfam family "Bacterial small subunit ribosomal RNA", at positions 493 to 776 of the family's 1533-position model. Lineage: Bacteria; Bacillati; Bacillota; Clostridia; Eubacteriales; Oscillospiraceae. The record is from RNAcentral.
UCUUUUCCUUGUGUGCCAGCAGCCGCGGUAAAACGUAGGUCACAAGCGUUGUCCGGAAUUACUGGGUGUAAAGGGAGCGCAGGCGGGAGAACAAGUUGGAAGUGAAAUCCAUGGGCUCAACCCAUGAACUGCUUUCAAAACUGUUUUUCUUGAGUAGUGCAGAGGUAGGCGGAAUUCCCGGUGUAGCGGUGGAAUGCGUAGAUAUCGGGAGGAACACCAGUGGCGAAGGCGGCCUACUGGGCACCAACUGACGCUGAGGCUCGAAAGUGUGGGUAGCAAACAGG